Pogoniulus pusillus (Red-fronted tinkerbird) is the source of this 525-nucleotide long non-coding RNA. RefSeq lists it as uncharacterized. The record is from RefSeq and is a predicted model, not a curated record. Lineage: Eukaryota; Metazoa; Chordata; Aves; Piciformes; Lybiidae. The transcript has 3 exons.
CCAUGAGUGCUGUAGUGUGUGCUUUUAAAUCUUGGCUAUAAAAUAGAGCUUAAUAUUGUAUCAUGAAUAUUAUAUGGAGCAAAUUUUAGAGGAGAAAUUACUCAUGAAAAUCUUUUAGAAGAGAUGGAAUGUGCCUCCCCAAGAGAGGUAGGAUACACAAGAAGUCAUGCACAUUAACUUGUACUGGCAUAAGUGCUCCUACCAAGAGUAAACUGCUCACCGGAAGAAAUGCAGCUGGAAUUUGAAGAUCAUGUUAAAGGUCAAGUGGAGUGGUGCAAUGUUGAAGAACAGGAUGAUCCUAUUUUGUCACUCAGAUUGAAAAGCAAAGUGAUGUCCUGCUGAUGGUACCAGCACUAGCCUGCAAAGCCAGGAGCUGGAGCCAGUUUCAUGGCAAAAUGCUUACAGAGGUAUUACCAGUAGAUGGAGUUUUCAGUUUAAAAGAUUGUAAUAAUUCAUACAGGGACCUGGUACAGCUCUUUGUUUUAGUAUCUCUUAUUUAUACAUUAAAAUUGUCUUGCAACUCCA